UACGGAGGAUGCGAGCGUUAUCCGGAUUUAUUGGGUUUAAAGGGUGCGUAGGUGGUUAAUUAAGUCAGCGGUGAAAGUUUGUGGCUCAACCAUAAAAUUGCCGUUGAAACUGGUUGACUUGAGUAUAUUUGAGGUAGGCGGAAUGCGUGGUGUAGCGGUGAAAUGCAUAGAUAUCACGCAGAACUCCGAUUGCGAAGGCAGCUUACUAAACUAUAACUGACACUGAAGCACGAAAGCGUGGGGAUCAAACAGGAUUAGAUACCCUGGUAGUCCACGCAGUAAACGAUGAUUACUAGCUGUUUGCGAUACACAGUAAGCGGCACAGCGAAAGCGUUAAGUAAUCCACCUGGGGAGUACGCCGGCAACGGUGAAACUUAAAGGAAUUGACGGGG
This 392-nucleotide ribosomal RNA is filed under the name uncultured bacterium. RNAcentral's name for it is "partial 16S ribosomal RNA". It matches the Rfam family "Bacterial small subunit ribosomal RNA", at positions 524 to 918 of the family's 1533-position model. The record is from RNAcentral.